Drosophila simulans is the source of this 958-nucleotide long non-coding RNA. RefSeq lists it as uncharacterized. NCBI's taxonomy places the organism in Eukaryota, Metazoa, Arthropoda, Insecta, Diptera, Drosophilidae. The record is from RefSeq and is a predicted model, not a curated record. The transcript has 3 exons.
AAAAUCUAUCGUCACCCACUUGAUUGUCGUUCCAAUGACUUGGCUGCAUCAACACUAGCGGCGGUACAUAUAGGAUUUGAUUGAUGUGGCAAUAUUGGAUUGCUUCGGCCCAACGACCACGCCCACCUGCGUGCACACCUAGCCGUAAAUGUCAGUUGCCAAAUAACAUGGGGUUCUGUAACGGAUUUACGACUGCCACAGGAAAACUUUAAUUUUCCAGGUAAUUUCAAGCAAAAGCUGGCACUUCGUAGAAUUCCAUGAUAUUAGUUGACUGCAGCGUUUUCCCAAAUUACAUGGACAAGUGUCCUUGUUGAGGACUCGUGAUAGCCUAGAUCAUGAAUAUAAUGAGACCUUAUCCCACAAUAUCAAUAACUUGUUUAUGGGCACACAAAAUUGAAAUUCCCCCACUUAUUUAAUACACUUAAGCCAUCAACUUGGACUUGGCGCACAUGGCCACACGUACUAAAUCACUUACGGCCAAGUUCAAUCAGACGAGUUAAUAACUUCCGCAAUGUGGCAGCCAAAAUUAACCAUAAUUCACAUGCUACGGCCAACUAAACUGACCUAUUAGCCCGACUGGGCUUCGGACUUUUGGGUUCGGAAGCCGGUUAGUACGCUUGAAUGGAUGGGCCGUGCUCCACAGUGGGCCACGUUGAUCCGGGCCAAGAAUUCUCGGAGGAAGGGCGACUGUAAUAUGGUAAUUUUAGCGCUUGUCUCUCCACGGACUCACACGGCAAUCAGCACACACAAGCACAGCUCAUUUAUCAUGGCCCCUUUCAGCGUUCCGCGUCCUGCGACCUGCGUCCUGCGAUGUCCUUUAUCCUUCUGUCUCCCUGAGGCGACGGUUCAAGGUGACCAAGGCAUUUGCCGGCCAAUCUGAGGUCGUGUUCUCACGUGCACUUGGAAAUCACAACGUACACUUUAGUCGGGUAAAAAGAUGUAGAAAUCACCGAAGCAC